This 425-nucleotide ribosomal RNA is filed under the name uncultured bacterium. RNAcentral's name for it is "bacterial SSU rRNA". It matches the Rfam family "Bacterial small subunit ribosomal RNA", at positions 355 to 775 of the family's 1533-position model. The record is from RNAcentral.
UCGAGGAUCUUCGGCAAUGGGCGCAAGCCUGACCGAGCGACGCCGCGUGCGGGAUGAAGGCCUUCGGGUUGUAAACCGCCGUCGGAGUGGAGGAAAUUCCAUAGGGUAAUCUCUAUGGAUUGACUAAUACUCAGAGGAAGGACGGGCUAAGUUCGUGCCAGCAGCCGCGGUAAGACGAACCGUCCAAACGUUAUUCGGAAUCACUGGGCUUAAAGGGUGCGUAGGCGGCCCGGAAAGUUGUGUGUGAAAGCCCUCGGCUCAACCGAGGAAUAGCGCGCAAAACUACCGGGCUUGAGGGAGACAGAGGUAAGCGGAACUUAGGGUGGAGCGGUGAAAUGCGUUGAUAUCCUAAGGAACACCAGGAGCGAAAGCGGCUUACUGGGUCUCUGCUGACGCUGAGGCACGAAAGCUAGGGGAGCGAACGG